GUCGAAGGUGGGGCUGAUGACUGGGGUGAAGUCGUAACAAGGUAUCCGUACCGGAAGGUGCGGAUGGAUCACCUCCUAACAGGGAGACAACACAAUGAUUUUGAUGCCUGAGUACUUUUAUUCUUAGGCCGAAAUCCUGUCACCUUAGGUCGAUCGGUACCUCAGCUUUGAAGUCAAGGAUCAGCAGCAAUGUUGAUUGCUUGAUGGAGAUUUUUAGUUCCUAAACUUUGUCUAGGUCACACCCCAAAAGGGAUGAGACUCCUGGGCCAUUAGCUCAGGUGGUUAGAGCGCACCCCUGAUAAGGGUGAGGUCCCUGGUUCAAGUCCAGGAUGGCCCAUUCGGUGUUGGGGGUUUAGCUCAGUUGGUAGAGCGCCUGCUUUGCAAGCAGGAUGUCAGGAGUUCGAGUCUCCUAACCUCCACUGACCGAACUUGAUUCCCAUCUCCAAUUUUUUGGAGUUGAGCUCGAUUGGAGUGUGAUUUAGAUGUGUCCGCUGGAUGACCCCAGCUUCCUGUCAUUCCAAGUUUUAGAUUUUAAGUCUUAAAUUUGGUUGAUAAGAUGCUGGGCUCGGAUCAAAUAAUUAAGCAAUUGAUGAUUUGAUUUGAAGUUCUAGCAGAACCUUGACAACUGCAUAGGUGAAGUCUGGAAAAACAAAGCAUCUUACAGAUGCAUUGUUUUGAAUCUGAUCUUCUGAAAGGGAGAUUGGAUCUAGAACAAUGAAAAUUCUUUUGAGCAAGAGCCGAGACUCUUAAAUGUUCUUUGAUUCGUGUCGAGCGAAUCAGAGUUUGAUCUUGUUUUUAGCAAUAAAAACUUGAGAAUCUGCUUUCAACGGCGGUAAGCGUUUAAGAGGUUAAUUGGUCAAGCUACAAAGGGCUCACGGCGG
RNAcentral lists this unclassified non-coding RNA (881 nucleotides) under uncultured Synechococcus sp. RNAcentral describes it as "partial may contain 16S ribosomal RNA, 16S-23S ribosomal RNA intergenic spacer, and 23S ribosomal RNA". The stretch from base 347 to 419 matches the Rfam family "tRNA". The record is from RNAcentral. Lineage: Bacteria; Bacillati; Cyanobacteriota; Cyanophyceae; Synechococcales; Synechococcaceae.